Molecule: ribosomal RNA, 253 nt
Filed under: uncultured bacterium
Lineage: Bacteria
Description: partial 16S ribosomal RNA
Rfam family: Bacterial small subunit ribosomal RNA
Source: RNAcentral
UACGGAGGGUGCAAGCGUUGCUCGGAAUUAUUGGGCGUAAAGGGUGCGUAGGCGGUCGGGUAAGUCUGACGUGAAAUCUUCAAGCUCAACUUGGAAACUGCGUCGGAUACUAUUCGGCUGGAGGAAUGGAGGGGAGACUGGAAUACUUGGUGUAGCAGUGAGAUGCGUAGAUAUCAAGUGGAACACCAGUGGCGAAGGCGAGUCUCUGGACAUUUCCUGACGCUGAGGCACGAAAGCCAGGGGAGCAAACGGG